CGCCCCCCUCGACCUAGGACCUCAAGGUUUCUGUCUCUCUGCGUCUCUCUCUCUCUCUCUCUCUCUCUCUCUCUCUCUCUCUCUCUCUCUCUCUCUCUCUCUCUCUCUCUCUGUGUGCGUGUGUGUGUGUGCAGCCCUUCGGCCGGAGAACUACUCCGGCAGCGCUCGCUGGUAUCAUGAAACCAUUGCCUCCGGGCGAACGUGAAGUGUUGCGAUACUUAUCCGGAACUCCUGGACAUGCGGAUUCUGAUUGCGGCGGAAUCUUCUGCAUUUUCUCGGGUUGAUGGGAGCAUCGUUCUGGAAGAUGGGCAGAUUUCGGUCUUUCUGGCGUCCAGAUGAUCGGUUUUCUUAGCGGCAAGAUCGCUCUGUCCGAUCUUUCUUUUAAGGAAACGGUGAUGGCUCUGGCUAGACGGAUAUUGGCCGAUCUUUUGGGCGUUCUCUCAUAAUAACUCUUGUGUGGAAAACUUUGGCCAUUAUCUGAGAGCUCGAUCUCCCUUCUUAUUUUUUCCCAUUUUUCCUCUUUGUUCACCUUAUCUCUACCUUCAUCUGUUUCAGAACCACGAUUAUUUACCGCGUAAUAUUUUUGGUUAACAAGUUGGCUGUUUCACAUUUCAGGUCCAAUGCUAUCUUAGACCAUUUCGACCCUCAGUUUCGUCUCGGUUUUAGAAAUCAUUUUCUGCUUCUAAUCUUCUUACGUGGUUUCGCUAAAUUUUGCUUCCUUAUUACUGGAUAGAAAUCGUAAAUUUGGUUAGGGAUUCUCUAAUUGGCGCUGAGGAUUUAACUUGCGGAAUGAUUUCCAAUGUCGCUGAAGUUUUGUUUUGGUAGCCGGGUUUUGUUUUUUCCCCUUGUCUUUUAAUUCGCGUUGUUCGAAGAAAAGCAACACAUUUUGUAAUUCACCCAUCUUUCUGUGUUUCUGCUAUGUAUUAUAAAAUAAAAUGGCUUCCUCCUUA
Nymphaea colorata (pocket water lily) is the source of this 950-nucleotide long non-coding RNA. RefSeq lists it as uncharacterized. The record is from RefSeq and is a predicted model, not a curated record. The transcript is spliced from 2 exons. NCBI's taxonomy places the organism in Eukaryota, Viridiplantae, Streptophyta, Magnoliopsida, Nymphaeales, Nymphaeaceae.